UACGUAGGGUGCAAGCGUUGUCCGGAAUUAUUGGGCGUAAAGAGCUCGUAGGCGGUCUGUUGCGUCGGCUGUGAAAACCCGGGGCUCAACCCCGGGCCUGCAGCCGAUACGGGCAGACUAGAGUUCGGCAGGGGAGACUGGAAUUCCUGGUGUAGCGGUGAAAUGCGCAGAUAUCAGGAGGAACACCGGUGGCGAAGGCGGGUCUCUGGGCCGGUACUGACGCUGAGACGCGAAAGCGUGGGGAGCGAACAGG
This 253-nucleotide ribosomal RNA is filed under the name uncultured bacterium. RNAcentral's name for it is "partial 16S ribosomal RNA". It matches the Rfam family "Bacterial small subunit ribosomal RNA", at positions 524 to 776 of the family's 1533-position model. The record is from RNAcentral.